Salvelinus fontinalis (brook trout) is the source of this 3923-nucleotide long non-coding RNA. RefSeq lists it as uncharacterized. The transcript is spliced from 2 exons. The record is from RefSeq and is a predicted model, not a curated record. NCBI's taxonomy places the organism in Eukaryota, Metazoa, Chordata, Actinopteri, Salmoniformes, Salmonidae.
AAUGGGAGGCCUGGGAAAAAAAGAGAGGCGGAGAGACCUUGAGAAAAGGAUGGACAUUACAUUAUGACCGUUGGUGAAGAAAAAUUAAACAGAAGAUGAUAAAAAUAGAACAAAACCCAUACCUACCGAGUUGAUGGGAAAUACCGAUUUUAUUUUAUAAGAGAGUUGUUAUAAUUGUGUUAAGAAAGACUUAGUAAAGACUGAAGCUACCGUCUCAUCGUGGAAGUAUUUGACAGCCUUGAGGUUAGCCUAGCAUCGUGUGAAACCGAGAGAGAAUUGCUUGGGAAAGAUUAACGAGUUCAUGUUCCCAUGGGAUAUCGGUUACUGCUAAAGAGUACUGUCUGCAUUGAUAGCUGUGCUUGCUGUGGAUCUUGUGAUGAAAUCUGCAAGGAACUGCCAUACUACACUGAGGGAAUAUCUACGAGUAGUGAGUAACCACAACGGUGGGGUGCUUCGGGACGUUAUGUGUGUUGUCAUUUUAUUUCAGCUCCAACGCGCGCCAACGGGGUUAAGCAAGCUUGAAAUCGUUUGCACAUGGGUUGUGCCUGACUCAUUGGGGUUCAUUAUUUUUAUUUAUUUUGAUGUGGUGCUUUGAAAAUGUAAUAAUAUACAUUUUGAACCUUAUGUAUGUUGCCUUGGUGGAGUCAUUUCCUGUUUCAAAUUAAUUUAAUGCAUGGGAAAGUAUAUCCUUAUACAAUAACAAAAACUUCCAUCUAAAGCCAUCUCGACUCCCAGACGAGCUCCUCCAGCACCGGUCGGAAGUGUGUCCUCUCUGACCACAGCAGGUGCAGGAGGAGCCUCCUCCUCCGGUCCCCCUCGAUGCAGCCCCCCCAACUCCAUCGGAGUUGGAGCAGGAGGGCUGGGAGGUGGAACUAACAGGACCCCUUCUGAACGCCCGCGGGCAGCUAGCAGGUUGUCCAGCCGGAUCGACAAGUCUAUGAGUUCGUCGAGGGAGAGUGUGGUGUCCCGACAGGCUAGCUCCCUGCGGACGUCCUCCCGGAGGCUGCACCGGAAGUGGUCCAUCAGGGCCCUGUCGUUCCACCCCGCACCAGCGGCCAAGGUCCAGAACUCCAACACGAAGUCAUGCGCGCUCCUCGUCUCCUGUCUGAGGUGAAACAGUCGUUCACCCGCCGCUCUGCCCUCUGGAGGGUGGUCGAACACGGCCCGAAAACGGCGGGUGAACUCCGGGUAGUGGUCCCGAGCCAAGUCUGGGCCGUUCCAGACUGUGUUGGGCAGGAGACGAGGAGGCUCACACUCUCUUCACCCGAGGGAGUCGGACGAACGGUAGCCAGGUAUAGCUCGAGCUGGAGAAAAAAAACCUGGCACCCAGCCGGCGCUCCAUCGUACUCCCUCGGGGGCGAGAGACGUAACGCGCUGGGACCGGACAUCGCCGGAGGAGGAGUGGGUUGCGUCGUCGCUAAAGGUGAAGUCGGGAGACCACUCCUCUCCCAUCGCUCCAUUCUCUCCAUCAUUUGGUCCAUCGCCGAACCGAUCCGAUGGAGGAUGGCCGUAUGAUGGAGGACGCGCUCCUCCAUUGAUAGAAGAGGGGUGGUCGCUGCUCCUGCUGACUCCAUAGGUUAUGGUGCGGGCUUCUGUCACGUCUUCGAGGAGUAGUGGGUGGAGGAAUCAGGCGCAGAGAUCAGAGGUAGUUCAAUCGUGAUCUUUUAAUCCCGAACAACAAGUAACGGUAACGCCAAACACUAAGGCGCAUCACUUUCAAACAGUCCAAAAACAGGACCAAACAGUCCGGAGAAAAUAGUACACGAGAAACACACCACAUGAACAGAAAAACAAGCCCGCACAAAAGCAGGCGGGCAUACCUGGUUUAAAUAGCCCAAAUCAAAACCCAAUACAAGGAACAGGUGUAACAAAUCAGACAAAACUAACUGAAACAGAAAAGGGGAUCGGUGACAGCUAGUAGACCGGUGACGACAACCGCCGAGCGCCGCCCGAACAGGAAGAGGAACCACCUUCGGCAGGAUUCGUGACACUCUGUCACUUUCAGACAUGUGCAGAGCAGACUGAAAGGGGAAGGGUAGCUCUUGACUUGAACCACAGGGGUUCUCUGUAAAGAGAGAGUAAUCCAAAAGGCACAGACAGACCCCUUGACUUUCAAUUGGCACCCUUGACCUGUAUGUAGUCUCUCCUGAUUGGCUCUGUGGUGCUUAGUCAAUAGGAACUCCGUUGCUGGCCACAUGAUAAAGUUUUUACAGUCUGGCAGUCUGACUAAAGCGCCAGAGGUAUGAGGAGAGACAUCCUCCUUUGUAUUUAUGGGAACAAAUAUUUCCUAACACUUUGGAUCCUAUUCUUGGACAGUUAGAAGACACAAUGCGUCAAUGGAAAAAAAUGUUUUUACUAAUUACUGUCCAUGAGUAACCUCAACCUUGUGGGUCUAUGGGUGUUUGGGCCAAUAAAGUGCCAACUCAAUCCUACCACUGACUAGUCUCUCAUGCCCCUAUGAACGGGGACACAGGGCAACAGUUUUUAAUCUAAACCAGCCCUUUCUUACUGGAGUACACUAACCCCUAAUUGGGACUCUUUUCUUGACACACAGUAGCAGUUUACCAGAUAAGUUAAGAAGAUCAAAAAGUAGAUUGUUGUAAUGGUGUAUUACAUUCUGUCAUUGUCAUAUCCAUAUCCAUUGUCAUAUCCAUUCUGGAUUCUGAGUGGUAAAAUCAUAGCUGAAAAAUGCCUGCAUCAACUGCAUAUAUCAUAAAUUGCUAUUGCAAAUAGAAGUAUUAUGUUCAACAACUGACAUUUUCGGAUAUUAUUUUGACAAACACACUUUAACACACUUUGGUGCUUACAAUUCAUUCUCUAUUGUCAUAGACUUGAUGGGCACUGUCAUCUGUGAUCUUUGUGAUAUGACUUUCUUUAAGCACGUACUGAUGAAACUGUCACUUAAUAUUUUUUUCUUAGUCUACAAAUGCUUUACAUUUAUUCACUCUGUGAUAGGGUUGGAUCCUAUCUGCUACUUUUAUUAUUGUCCUGUAAAUGGUUCAGUGCCUAUAAUUUAGGCUGUGUGUAGAAUGGGACAUGCAGGAAAUUACCUCUAUUAGAUUAUAGUCAUAAGGAAAUCAGCAUACAGUUUUGGCCCGUGUAUUCAUUUGCCUAUAUCUAAUCAGAAUUCUAUGUUUACAUAAAAAAGAGAAUACUUCAAAAUGAGAAGAUCCUGCCAUGGAAAAGACGACUGGGUGUACAUAAAGUGGAAAGGAUGGGAAAUAACUCACACCAUACAGCAGGACACUUUCAGCUGCACGGUCUUUGUAAUGCAGGUUUGAUAGUUGUAUUUCAAUAAUGAAUGGUUAGCAGUUAUAUGACAAUUAGGUCAAAAACUCUAUUUUAUUUUUUGGUGUAGAUGGCCAAGGAAGUUGCACAGAACUUCCCCAACAUCCCCUCCCAAAUUGAUAUAGAACCUUCACAAAAACACAUGGAGCAACUGCGAAAAGAAAUGGCUGAGGAUAUACAAAAAAUGUCUGGUAUGUAAUGACUUUUAAUUCAAAGUAAAUGUCAAUUCUUUAUUUUCAUGUAGUUGUGAGGGACAGCCAUAUGUUCAGUUCAUGCCUAUGAUUUCAGAGUUCAACAAAGCCAACAACUGCUUCAUGUGUGCCACUGAUAAAGAACCUGGAUGUGGCCCAAAGACUGACUGGAUUGAAUGUUUUGCAUGCCAACGGUGGUUCCAUGUGCUGUGCCUAGGAAUGAAGACAAAAGAGUAAUGAACACAAACUGGAAGUGCUGUCUUUGUUGUUGAAAAUGUAUGCUAUACCCUAUCCAAACUAUACAUUAUCCACACUGAAUAGGCUCUGAAAUGUAUAUAAACCAGGGAUAAAGAGAGAAAACGAACACAAAUGUUUUGUACUUAUUUGAAGUAAAGUGUCUGUUGACAUGUUGGAAAAGAUUAAAGGUCUACAAUUUCUAUUUAA